CCUGCCUCUCUUUUGAGGGCAUGUUUUUCAGUUCUUCAUGGGGAAAUUUUUCUAAAUUUUAGUCUCAAGAAGGGUUUUCCUAAGUAGCUAUAUGAAGACUGGGUUUUCAGUCUGAUGUACUCUCUAUAUUCUGUCUAACCUUGACCAGUCUUCCCAGCUCAUCUUAUUAAAAAUGAGUGUGCACAUUUUAUCUCAAGCACACUAGAAACAGCUUCUAUUUGAGUUUACAAAUUAGACACCUCAUACAUAGAAGGCCAUAGAAAUAACUAUUCUGGGUAAACUUCAUUUUAUAUGAGAAAUCUUGGGGUGGAUGAUUGUUUAAAAACCAUUGCACAAAUAACCUGAAUUAAGGGGAUGUCAGGAAGAUAACACUCCUCCAAAGAUAUUUAUGUCUUGUUCCCAGAAAAUGUCACUGUUAUCUACAGUUGCAGUUAUGACAAAUUAAGGACCAUGAGAUGGGGAGAUUAUCCAAGUGAGCCCAAUGUAAUUACAAAGGUUCUUAUAAAUAGUCAGAAGACUCAGUAUCAGAAUCAGAAAUUUGUAGAUGCUUCUGGCUUGAUUGGAGAAAGUGUUCACAAACCAAGGAAUGCAAAUGGCCUCUAAAAUUGGAAAUUAUAAGGAAAGUGAUUUUCCCUGAUAGGUCUCCAGAAAGGAAUGCAGCCCUGCCAAUACCUUAACUUUAACUCAUUGAAACCAGUUAGACUUUUGAUAUCCAGAAAUGUAAAAU
Molecule: long non-coding RNA, 727 nt
Filed under: Marmota monax (woodchuck)
Lineage: Eukaryota; Metazoa; Chordata; Mammalia; Rodentia; Sciuridae
Source: RNAcentral